GGUAGCUCUACCCGAUGGCACAUUUUGGAGUACUCCACAUAUUUCUGGGGAAAUUAAGAAGUUUAUGUGUCCUUUGCCUGAAGCCAGAGUGGGAGAAGGUCUCUCUGCAGUUGUGUCUUCUGUGAGUGAUGCUUUGGGCCUGAAUCCAUAGUGCUUGCCUGCUUCUCUCUGCAUCCCACAUGCUCUCCUCCUCAGAUGCUGCAGUGACCUUGGCAACUCUAGGAAAUGAGGACCUAAUAUAACAUGUGCUACGUAUUUCCCUCCAAAAUAGGCCAUAAUGGACUGAAGCCGAAGUUUUAAGAAAGUGUCAUAUAAUUGAUAUUGUGAAAGACAUCUUGC
Canis lupus familiaris (dog) is the source of this 339-nucleotide long non-coding RNA. RefSeq lists it as uncharacterized. The record is from RefSeq and is a predicted model, not a curated record. NCBI's taxonomy places the organism in Eukaryota, Metazoa, Chordata, Mammalia, Carnivora, Canidae. The transcript is spliced from 3 exons.